RNAcentral lists this long non-coding RNA (975 nucleotides) under Brassica napus (rape). RNAcentral describes it as "long non-coding RNA (BNAP_LNC013190)". The record is from RNAcentral. Lineage: Eukaryota; Viridiplantae; Streptophyta; Magnoliopsida; Brassicales; Brassicaceae.
GCUUAUUUAGUUAUACUAGUUUUUCUGUCAACACAUAGUUAUGUUAUUUCCUAUGCAGUUAAAAAAAUGAAUAUCUUUUUUAUAAAACAGAUUUUGAUUUCCUUAACAAGUCAUUUAACCAAUAUCUUUCUCUUUUUUAGAGAGAGAAGUUCUCACUCAUCUCUAUCGUGUUCCGAACUUUAAUUUUUUAGAGGAUAUGAGAUUAUUAAAUCUUUUUGUUGUAACAUAAUUUGAUAAAUCGAUCAAUUUAUCAUUUAUGCCCUUCGGAUUUUUCCUUCCGUCGUCUUAACGAUCUUUUUUUUUCUUUCAAUCUUAAAUCGGAUCUGUUCUUCAAGUUUCUUCUUGUUAUGUCUAAUUUAGGAUUGACGCUAAUAAAGGUUUCGAUGGAGAUUGCAGAGUAGCUCUCUUUAACUUCAUAUCAAUUCCAGCCAAUUUCCUCUUAGUUGGAAACAAUUAUUCUUGAGUGGGUAAUGUUAUGAUUGCCAAACUUUCAAUCUUUAAUGGACGGAAAGAUCUCCAGCUUGAAUAUACCAGAGACGUCAAGGCAUUACAUUCAGAUACUUGAUGAAGAUUGAAAAAAUAGAAGAAGGUGAUCAAAGGGAAGCUACUCGAUUUGGUAUCAGAGAUUGAAGCACGGUUGCCCUUAUCGACGGGACACCAACCUUUGUAUGACAGAGAUAAGAGAUAACAUGGAAGCGAUUUCGUAAGGACUGCGGUGGUGAAGCUUCUUGACAACCAAAUCUGCCGCCUCAUGCAUGAAGAACAUGUGUAACACACUUGUUUCGUGACAUGAGGUGAAUACAAAUCGUUUCCCAAACGAUUUUAUUUAAUACUCUAUCUGUUUCAAAAUACAUGAAGUUUUAAGAUUGUUCACAACUAUUAAGAAACUUGUUUUUUAUCUUAAAAAUAUCAUUAAAAUAUAAAUUAAAAGUUAUUCUACCAAUCACAAAACAGACUACAAAAUAUCAUUGGUAC